AGUAACGGCGAGUGAAGCGGCAAAAGCUCAAAUUUGAAACCCUCGGGAUUGUAAUUUGAAGAUUUGGCAUUGGAGAAAGCUAACCCAAGUUGCUUGGAAUAGUACGUCAUAGAGGGUGACAACCCCGUCUGGCUAACCGUUCUCCAUGUAUUGCCUUAUCAAAGAGUCGAGUUGUUUGGGAAUGCAGCUCAAAGUGGGUGGUAAACUCCAUCUAAAGCUAAAUACUGGUGAGAGACCGAUAGCGAACAAGUACUGUGAAGGAAAGGUGAAAAGAACUUUGAAAAGAGAGUGAAAUAGUAUGUGAAAUUGUUGAUAGGGAAGGAAAUGGGUGGAGAGUGGCCGAGGUUUCAGCCGCCCCUCGUGGGCGGUGUACUGCCGACGCCGAGUCAUCGAUAGCGAGACGAGGGUUACAAAUGGGAGCGCCUUUCGGGCGUUCUCCCCUAACCCUCCACACUGCCACCGACGACAUAAUCCACCCAUUUCA
RNAcentral lists this ribosomal RNA (484 nucleotides) under Yarrowia lipolytica. RNAcentral describes it as "partial large subunit ribosomal RNA". It matches the Rfam family "Eukaryotic large subunit ribosomal RNA", at positions 82 to 647 of the family's 3401-position model. The record is from RNAcentral. Lineage: Eukaryota; Fungi; Ascomycota; Dipodascomycetes; Dipodascales.